Non-coding RNA from Vigna radiata var. radiata (mung bean), 107 nucleotides. Lineage: Eukaryota; Viridiplantae; Streptophyta; Magnoliopsida; Fabales; Fabaceae. The record is from Rfam.
AGAGUACAUUUGAGCCAAGGAUGACUUGCCGGCAUCUGCUACAAAAGCAGCUAGUUUUACUCUUUUGAGGAUGUUGCUGGCGAGACAUCUUGGCUCACUUUUGCUCU